Molecule: long non-coding RNA, 942 nt
Organism: Triticum aestivum (bread wheat)
Lineage: Eukaryota; Viridiplantae; Streptophyta; Magnoliopsida; Poales; Poaceae
Exons: 2
Source: RefSeq, a predicted model, not a curated record
AUGGAGAGAAAGGAACCUCAUUUCCUUCCUUCCCCUCGAAGGCAGCCCAGCUCUUCCUGUUCGGCUCCUCUCACACGCAUCCUUUCCUUCCUCUCUCGUCCCCUCCCUGGUGCUCCGCCGCCGCCUUCUUUCUCCACCAAAUCUACCCCGUCCCAUCAUCCUCAUCCACGGCCAUCGAGUGAAGGAGCCUGAGCAGGUGAGGGGGUGGCUCUGGGAGUCGGCGGUCUCUCCAGAGCGGUCGAGAGGCGUUGGGUCAAAGGCGUCGUGCCUCGAUGGCCGGGAUCGGGCAAGUCAGAUGGGAAGCAGCGAUGCCGGAAAUUGUUCGCUGCGCCUCCACCUUGUCCCCAGCCCUUCUACGAGCACUUUCUCUUGUCCACGGGAGCCCCCUUUCCACCGAGCUCCAGAUCCAUGACACUAGCAGCGAGGUGAGCAGCGGCAAAGGCUACCACCUAGCAACUCCUCUUUCCUCGUCUUUCAUCCUCUCCAACCCGUCUGGAGGAUACAGUUGAUGAUGUAGUUGAAGAUGAAUGGGUUCUUACUAAGAUACAUCUGUAUAUGUAUGUGGUUUCUUUGCUUCGGUUGAAGAUAUAUGUGUGGCUUAAAGAUAUAUCUGAAGUUAAAUUUCCAAGACAUACCAUCCGUCAGUGAUUAUGUAUUAAUGAUUGUUGGGAACUCCUAUCUUACUGGGAUGUGAAAUACAAUGAUGUCAGUAUGUAUAAGCUUUGUCAAUUCCACUUUAUCUCGAGGAACCGCGAGAAAUGUAGUGUACAAAUGAGUUCAUGGCUUUGCAAGGCAUAUAAAUUUUAGGUGUCCAAUCUUUUCACUUAGUGUAUGUUGUUCCCGUAUGUAGACUUCCUUUUUGAUGAUAUUUCAAAAAUAUGUUGAACAUGGUUGUAAGUGAACAAAUUCUUAUGGAAUAUGAAUAUAAAGUUUUGCCUGCUC